AGUGAACGCUGGCGGUAGGCCUAACACAUGCAAGUCGAACGGCAGCACAGUAAGAGCUUGCUCUUACGGGUGGCGAGUGGCGGACGGGUGAGGAAUACAUCGGAAUCUACUUUUUCGUGGGGGAUAACGUAGGGAAACUUACGCUAAUACCGCAUACGACCUACGGUUGAAAGCAUGGGAUCUUCGGACCUUGCGCGAUUGAAUGAGCCGAUGUCGGAUUAGCUAGUUGGCGGGGUAAAGGCCCACCAAGGCGACGAUCCGUAGCUGGUCUGAGAGGAUGAUCAGCCACACUGGAACUGAGACACGGUCCAGACUCCUACGGGAGGCAGCAGUGGGGAAUAUUGGACAAUGGGCGCAAGCCUGAUCCAGCCAUACCGCGUGGGUGAAGAAGGCCUUCGGGUUGUAAAGCCCUUUUGUUGGGAAAGAAAAGCAGCAGGUUAAUACCCCGCUGUUCUGACGGUACCCAAAGAAUAAGCACCGGCUAACUUCGUG
RNAcentral lists this ribosomal RNA (492 nucleotides) under uncultured bacterium. RNAcentral's name for it is "partial 16S ribosomal RNA". It matches the Rfam family "Bacterial small subunit ribosomal RNA", at positions 29 to 507 of the family's 1533-position model. The record is from RNAcentral.